Molecule: long non-coding RNA, 262 nt
Organism: Fundulus heteroclitus (mummichog)
Lineage: Eukaryota; Metazoa; Chordata; Actinopteri; Cyprinodontiformes; Fundulidae
Exons: 2
Source: RefSeq, a predicted model, not a curated record
CAGGAGACUGAAGACGGGACCUUCAUGAGCUGCGGAGGACAAGGCAGGACUGUGAGACCCAACAGGAUCCGACCAGAACCCACACGGAGGAAACAUGGCGGAACGUGGACCGGAACAAAGUUCACCUCUACGGGACCCAUCCUGGCCUCGGGAAUCCUCCGGUUCCUGGAAAACUGCAGGAAAAACCAAGAACUCGGCAAGAAGCGGGUUUAAGCCCAACUGAGCUGCAGGAGGGAAACACACGGAGCGGGUCGCUGGAAAA